RNAcentral lists this ribosomal RNA (465 nucleotides) under uncultured bacterium. RNAcentral's name for it is "partial 16S ribosomal RNA". It matches the Rfam family "Bacterial small subunit ribosomal RNA", at positions 338 to 795 of the family's 1533-position model. The record is from RNAcentral.
CCUACGGGUGGCAGCAGUGGGGAAUAUUGCGCAAUGGGCGAAAGCCUGACGCAGCGACGCCGCGUGAGGGAUGAAGGUCUUCGGAUCGUAAACCUCUGUCAGCAGGGAAGAAGGGUCACUGUGCUAAUCAGCAGUGAAUUGACGGUACCUGAAAAGGAAGCACCGGCUAACUCCGUGCCAGCAGCCGCGGUAAUACGGAGGGUGCGAGCGUUAAUCGGAAUUACUGGGCGUAAAGCGCUCGUAGGCGGUAUGUCAAGUCAAGGGUGAAAGCCCCGCGCUCAACGUGGGAACUGCCUUUGAAACUGGCAAACUGGAGUGUCUGAGAGGAUAGUGGAAUUCCAGGUGUAGGAGUGAAAUCCGUAGAUAUCUGGAGGAACACCAGUGGCGAAGGCGACUAUCUGGCACAUAACUGACGCUGAGGAGCGAAAGCGUGGGUAGCAAACAGGAUUAGAUACCCUGGUAGUC